This 371-nucleotide ribosomal RNA is filed under the name uncultured organism. RNAcentral's name for it is "partial 16S ribosomal RNA". It matches the Rfam family "Bacterial small subunit ribosomal RNA", at positions 527 to 896 of the family's 1533-position model. The record is from RNAcentral.
GUACUGUGCGAACGUUAUUCGGAAUCACUGGGCUUAAAGGGUGCGUAGGCGGCUGAUCAAGUCAGGUGUGAAAGUCCCCGGCUCAACCGGGGAAUUGCGCUUGAAACUGAUCAGCUCGAGUGAGAUAGGGGUGUGCGGAACUUCCGGUGGAGCGGUGAAAUGCGUUGAUAUCGGAAGGAACACCGGUGGCGAAGGCGGCACACUGGGUCUCUACUGACGCUCAUGCACGAAAGCCAGGGGGGAGCGAACGGGAUUAGAUACCCCGGUAGUCCUGGCUGUAAACGAUGAGCACUAGAUGGGAGGAGCUUCGGCUUCUCCGGUCGCAGCGAAAGCGUUAAGUGCUCCGCCUGGGGAGUAUGGUCGCAAGGCUG